RNAcentral lists this ribosomal RNA (1378 nucleotides) under uncultured bacterium. RNAcentral describes it as "bacterial SSU rRNA". It matches the Rfam family "Bacterial small subunit ribosomal RNA". The record is from RNAcentral.
AGAGUUUGAUCCUGGCUCAGGACGAACGCUGGCGGCACGCCUAACACAUGCAAGUCGAACGGACGAGGAGGAGCUUGCUUCUCCGAGUUAGUGGCGGACGGGUGAGUAACACGUGAGCAACCUACCCUUGAGAGGGGGAUAGCUUCUGGAAACGGAUGGUAAUACCCCAUAACAUAUAUUUUAGGCAUCUAAGAUAUAUCAAAGAAAUUCGCUCAAGGAUGGGCUCGCGUCUGAUUAGAUAGUUGGUGAGGUAACGGCCCACCAAGGCGACGAUUGGUAGCCGGACUGAGAGGUUGAACGGCCACAUUGGGACUGAGACACGGCCCAGACUCCUACGGGAGGCAGCAGUGGGGGAUAUUGCACAAUGGGGGAAACCCUGAUGCAGCGACGCCGCGUGGAGGAAGAAGGUUUUCGGAUUGUAAACUCCUGUCGUUAGGGACGAUAAUGACGGUACCUAACAAGAAAGCACCGGCUAACUACGUGCCAGCAGCCGCGGUAAAACGUAGGGUGCAAGCGUUGUCCGGAAUUACUGGGUGUAAAGGGAGCGCAGGCGGACCGGCAAGUUGGAAGUGAAAUCCAUGGGCUCAACCCGUGAAUUGCUUUCAAAACUGCUGGCCUUGAGUAGUGCAGAGGUAGGUGGAAUUCCCGGUGUAGCGGUGGAAUGCGUAGAUAUCGGGAGGAACACCAGUGGCGAAGGCGACCUACUGGGCACCAACUGACGCUGAGGCUCGAAAGCAUGGGUAGCAAACAGGAUUAGAUACCCUGGUAGUCCAUGCCGUAAACGAUGAUUACUAGGUGUUGGAGGAUUGACCCCUUCAGUGCCGCAGUUAACACAAUAAGUAAUCCACCUGGGGAGUACGACCGCAAGGUUGAAACUCAAAGGAAUUGACGGGGGCCCGCACAAGCAGUGGAGUAUGUGGUUUAAUUCGAAGCAACGCGAAGAACCUUACCAGGUCUUGACAUCCGACUAACGAAGUAGAGAUACAUCAGGUGCCCUUCGGGGAAAGUCGAGACAGGUGGUGCAUGGUUGUCGUCAGCUCGUGUCGUGAGAUGUUGGGUUAAGUCCCGCAACGAGCGCAACCCUUAUCCUCAGUAGCCAGCAAGUGAAGUUGGGCACUCUGUGGAGACUGCCAGGGAUAACCUGGAGGAAGGUGGGGAUGACGUCAAAUCAUCAUGCCCCUUAUGAUUUGGGCUACACACGUGCUACAAUGGCGUAAACAAAGGGAAGCGAUCACGCGAGUGUGAGCAAAUCUCAAAAAUAACGUCUCAGUUCGGAUUGUAGUCUGCAACUCGACUACAUGAAGCUGGAAUCGCUAGUAAUCGCAGGUCAGCAUACUGCGGUGAAUACGUUCCCGGGUCUUGCACACACCGCCCGUCA